RNAcentral lists this ribosomal RNA (465 nucleotides) under uncultured bacterium. RNAcentral's name for it is "partial 16S ribosomal RNA". It matches the Rfam family "Bacterial small subunit ribosomal RNA", at positions 28 to 507 of the family's 1533-position model. The record is from RNAcentral.
GACGAACGCUGGCGGCGUGCUUAACACAUGCCAGUCGAACGGAAAGGCCCUGCUUGCAGGGUACUCGAGUGGCGAACGGGUGAGUAACACGUGGGUGAUCUGCCCUGCACUUCGGGAUAAGCCUGGGAAACUGGGUCUAAUACCGGAUAGGAGCCAGUUUUAGUGUGAUGGUUGGAAAGUUUUUUCGGUGUAGGAUGAGCUCGCGGCCUAUCAGCUUGUUGGUGGGGUAAUGGCCUACCAAGGCGGCGACGGGUAGCCGGCCUGAGAGGGUGGACGGCCACAUUGGGACUGAGAUACGGCCCAGACUCCUACGGGAGGCAGCAGUGGGGAAUAUUGCACAAUGGGCGCAAGCCUGAUGCAGCGACGCCGCGUGGGGGAUGACGGCCUUCGGGUUGUAAACUCCUUUCGCUAGGGACGAAGCUUUUUGUGACGGUACCUAGAUAAGAAGCACCGGCUAACUACGUG